RNAcentral lists this ribosomal RNA (253 nucleotides) under uncultured bacterium. RNAcentral's name for it is "partial 16S ribosomal RNA". It matches the Rfam family "Bacterial small subunit ribosomal RNA", at positions 524 to 776 of the family's 1533-position model. The record is from RNAcentral.
UACGUAGGGCGCAAGCGUUAUCCGGAAUUAUUGGGCGUAAAGAGCGCGUAGGCGGUCCGAUAAGUCGGCUGUGAAAGUCAGGGGCUCAACCCUUGAAAGCCGGCCGAUACUGUCGGACUAGAGUCCGGAAGAGGCAAGUGGAAUUCCCGGUGUAGCGGUGAAAUGCGCAGAUAUCGGGAGGAACACCAAUGGCGAAGGCAGCUUGCUGGGACGGUACUGACGCUGAGGCGCGAAAGCGUGGGGAGCAAACAGG